Molecule: microRNA precursor, 124 nt
Filed under: Podarcis lilfordi (Lilford's wall lizard)
Lineage: Eukaryota; Metazoa; Chordata; Lepidosauria; Squamata; Lacertidae
Source: RNAcentral
CAGCGCUCUCUUUAAAGAGCGCACAGAGUGUGUGUGUGGCUUUUGGGGGCUUUUCCCGAGGAGGGAGAAGGAAAAGCCCCCAAGAGCUGCACACACACUCUGUGCGCUCUUUAAAGGGAGUGCG